Molecule: transfer RNA, 64 nt
Filed under: Neotoma lepida (desert woodrat)
Lineage: Eukaryota; Metazoa; Chordata; Mammalia; Rodentia; Cricetidae
Rfam family: tRNA
About the family: Transfer RNA (tRNA) molecules are approximately 80 nucleotides in length. Their secondary structure includes four short double-helical elements and three loops (D, anti-codon, and T loops).
Source: Rfam by way of RNAcentral
AUGUAGCUGAGUUGGUAGAAUACUUGCCUAGUAUGCAUGAAGCCCUGGGUUCAAUCCCCAGCAU